This 440-nucleotide ribosomal RNA is filed under the name uncultured bacterium. RNAcentral describes it as "bacterial SSU rRNA". It matches the Rfam family "Bacterial small subunit ribosomal RNA", at positions 29 to 502 of the family's 1533-position model. The record is from RNAcentral.
AACGAACGCUGGCGGCACGCCUAACACAUGCAAGUCGAGCGCACUUAUGAUCUUCGGAUUAUAGGCGAGCGGCGGACGGGUUAGUAACGCGUGGGAACGUACCCUUUACUACGGAAUAGCCUUUGGAAACGAAGAGUAAUACCGUAUACGCCCUUUGGGGGAAAGAUUUAUCGGUAAAGGAUCGGCCCGCGUUAGAUUAGAUAGUUGGUGGGGUAAUGGCCUACCAAGUCUACGAUCUAUAGCUGGUUUGAGAGGAUGAUCAGCAACACUGGGACUGAGACACGGCCCAGACUCCUACGGGAGGCAGCAGUGGGGAAUCUUAGACAAUGGGCGAAAGCCUGAUCUAGCGAUGCCGCGUGAGUGAAGAAGGCCUUAGGGUCGUAAAACUCUUUCGCCAGAGAUGAUAAUGACAGUAUCGUGGUAAAGAAACCCCGCUAACU